This 505-nucleotide ribosomal RNA is filed under the name uncultured bacterium. Its description in RNAcentral is "partial 16S ribosomal RNA". It matches the Rfam family "Bacterial small subunit ribosomal RNA", at positions 28 to 507 of the family's 1533-position model. The record is from RNAcentral.
GACGAACGCUGGCGGCGUGCCUAAUACAUGCAAGUAGAACGCACAGUUUAUACCGUAGCUUGCUACACCAUAGACUGUGAGUUGCGAACGGGUGAGUAACGCGUAGGUAACCUGCCUGGUAGCGGGGGAUAACUAUUGGAAACGAUAGCUAAUACCGCAUAAUAUUGAUUAUUGCAUGAUAAUUGAUUGAAAGAUGCUAUUGCAUCACUACCAGAUGGACCUGCGUUGUAUUAGCUAGUAGGUGAGGUAACGGCUCACCUAGGCGACGAUACAUAGCCGACCUGAGAGGGUGAUCGGCAACACUGGGACUGAGACACGGCCCAGACUCCUACGGGAGGCAGCAGUAGGGAAUCUUCGGCAAUGGACGAAAGUCUGACCGAGCAACGCCGCGUGAGUGAAGAAGGUUGUCGGAUCGUAAAGCUCUGUUGUAAGAGAAGAACGGGUGUGAGAGUGGAAAGUUCACACUGUGACGGUAUCUGACCAGAAAGGGACGGCUAACUACGUG